UAGUAACUGCGAGUGAAGCGGGAAAAGCUCAAAUUUAAAAUCUGGUGGUCUUUGGCCAUCCGAGUUGUAAUUUAGAGAAGCGUCUUCCGCGCUGGACCGUGCACAAGUCUCCUGGAAUGGAGCCUCAUAGAGGGUGAGAAUCCCGUCUUUGGCACGGAUGUACCAGGGCUUUUGUGAUGCGCUCUCGAAGAGUCGAGUUGUUUGGGAAUGCAGCUCAAAAUGGGUGGUGAACUCCAUCUAAAGCUAAAUAUUGGCGAGAGACCGAUAGCGAACAAGUACCGUGAGGGAAAGAUGAAAAGCACUUUGGAAAGAGAGUGAAACAGUACGUGAAAUUGUUGAAAGGGAAACGCUUGAAGUCAGUCACGUCGACCGAGACUCAGCCUUGCCUCGGCUUGGUGUAUUUCUCGGCUGACGGGUCAGCAUCAAUUUUGCCCCUUGGAUAAUGGCGAGGGAAAUGUGACACCUUUACGGUGUGUUAUAGUCUCUCGUCGCAUGCAAGGGUCGGGAUUGAGGAACUCAGCACGCGCCCUCGGGCGUCGGGGCUUUGCCCACGAUACGUGCUUAGGAUGUUGGCGUAAUGGCUUUAAACGACCCGUCUUGAAACACGGACCAAGGAGUCUAACAUGCCUGCGAGUGUUCGGGUGGAAAACCCGUGCGCGCAAUGAAAGUGAAAGUUGGGACCUCUGUCGUGGAGGGCACCGACGCCCGGACCAGACCUUCUGUGACGGUUCUGCGGUAGAGCAUGUAUGUUAGGACCCGAAAGAUGGUGAACUAUGCCUGAAUAGGGUGAAGCCAGAGGAAACUCUGGUGGAGGCUCGUAGCGAUUCUGACGUGCAAAUCGAUCGUCAAAUUUGGGUAUAGGGGCGAAAGACUAAUCGAACCAUCUAGUAGCUGGUUCCUGCGAGAGUU
RNAcentral lists this ribosomal RNA (909 nucleotides) under Russula sp. RNAcentral's name for it is "partial large subunit ribosomal RNA". It matches the Rfam family "Eukaryotic large subunit ribosomal RNA", at positions 81 to 968 of the family's 3401-position model. The record is from RNAcentral. Lineage: Eukaryota; Fungi; Basidiomycota; Agaricomycetes; Russulales; Russulaceae.